Molecule: non-coding RNA, 46 nt
Filed under: Trichobilharzia regenti
Lineage: Eukaryota; Metazoa; Platyhelminthes; Trematoda; Strigeidida; Schistosomatidae
Source: RNAcentral
GUACUGAUGAAGAGUCCCAAAACAGGUCAAAACAGCUGUCCAGUAC